This 396-nucleotide ribosomal RNA is filed under the name uncultured bacterium. RNAcentral describes it as "bacterial SSU rRNA". It matches the Rfam family "Bacterial small subunit ribosomal RNA", at positions 360 to 773 of the family's 1533-position model. The record is from RNAcentral.
AAUAUUGGACAAUGGGCGAAAGCCUGAUCCAGCCAUGCCGCGUGAAUGAUGAAGGUCUUAGGAUUGUAAAAUUCUUUCAGCGGGGAAGAUAAUGACGGUACCCGCAGAAGCAGCUCCGGCUAACUUCGUGCCAGCAGCCGCGGUAAUACGAAGGGGGCUAGCGUUGCUCGGAAUUACUGGGCGUAAAGGGCGCGUAGGCGGAUGACUAAGUCGAGGGUGAAAGCCCGGGGCUCAACCUCGGAACUGCCUUUGAUACUGGUCAUCUUGAGUACGGGAGAGGUGUGUGGAACUCCGAGUGUAGAGGUGAAAUUCGUAGAUAUUCGGAAGAACACCAGUGGCGAAGGCGACACACUGGCCCGUUACUGACGCUGAGGCGCGAAAGCGUGGGGAGCAAAC